RNAcentral lists this signal recognition particle RNA (98 nucleotides) under Holosporaceae bacterium. Its description in RNAcentral is "signal recognition particle sRNA small type". It matches the Rfam family "Bacterial small signal recognition particle RNA". From Rfam's summary of the family: The signal recognition particle (SRP) is a universally conserved ribonucleoprotein involved in the co-translational targeting of proteins to membranes. Lineage: Bacteria; Pseudomonadati; Pseudomonadota; Alphaproteobacteria; Holosporales; Holosporaceae. The record is from RNAcentral.
AAAACGGACAGCUGGACGUUCAGAAGCACGAACCCGGUCAGAUUCGGAAGAAAGCAGCCGUAGUGAAGAACGGACGGGUCGGCUGUCUCCUGUUUGGA